Molecule: ribosomal RNA, 464 nt
Filed under: Triticum aestivum (bread wheat)
Lineage: Eukaryota; Viridiplantae; Streptophyta; Magnoliopsida; Poales; Poaceae
Description: partial small subunit ribosomal RNA
Source: RNAcentral
GCAGCCUCGCUGCACGCUGAGUCCUCCGAGGAGAUGGAAGCUGCUGUUCAACGAGGAGGGUUGCCUAGACGCAGCUGGAAUGAUUAUGAGAGUACAGCGUGGGGACGUUGUCUUCAUUUUGGUUAUGCGAACAGGGUGUCCACCCAAAUAUCAAAGGGGAAGUGUGGGAGUUUUUGUUGGGUUGUUACGAUCCUAAAAGCACUACUGAACAGAGGAACCAGUUGUGGCAACAGAGAAGGUUCUGUUUUAUUUCACUCUUCAUUUGCAUCUUACUUUCGUCCUCUCAUCUAAGUCCAUUUUUAUCUCAUUACAGUUUCACUUUCCAUUGCUAUGCAUAAUUUUUACAAUCUAGCAAAACACUCCCCAAUCACCUUUUUUUGUCCUUAUUUUUGCAAGAGUGGCUACUUUAAGCAUAUACUAGGAUAUGGACUGGACGACUGGCUGCAGGGAGUAGUGUAUGAUGU